AGAGUUUGAUCAUGGCUCAGAUUGAACGCUGGCGGCAUGCCUUACACAUGCAAGUCGAACGGUAACAGGUCUUUCGGGAUGCUGACGAGUGGCGAACGGGUGAGUAAUACAUCGGAACGUGCCUAGUAGUGGGGGAUAACUACUCGAAAGAGUGGCUAAUACCGCAUGAGAUCUAUGGAUGAAAGCAGGGGACCUUCGGGCCUUGUGCUACUAGAGCGGCCGAUGGCAGAUUAGGUAGUUGGUGGGAUAAAAGCUUACCAAGCCUACGAUCUGUAGCUGGUCUGAGAGGACGAUCAGCCACACUGGGACUGAGACACGGCCCAGACUCCUACGGGAGGCAGCAGUGGGGAAUUUUGGACAAUGGGCGCAAGCCUGAUCUAGCAAUGCCGCGUGCAGGAUGAAGGCCUUCGGGUUGUAAACUGCUUUUGUACGGAACGAAAAGUCUUGGGUUAAUACCCUGGGAUCAUGACGGUACCGUAAGAAUAAGCACCGGCUAACUACGUGCCAGCAGCCGCGGUAAUACGUAGGGUGCAAGCGUUAAUCGGAAUUACUGGGCGUAAAGCGUGCGCAGGCGGUUUUGUAAGACAGUGGUGAAAUCCCCGGGCUCAACCUGGGAACUGCCAUUGUGACUGCAAGGCUGGAGUGCGGCAGAGGGGGAUGGAAUUCCGCGUGUAGCAGUGAAAUGCGUAGAUAUGCGGAGGAACACCGAUGGCGAAGGCAAUCCCCCGGGCCUGCACUGACGCUCAUGCACGAAAGCGUGGGGA
Molecule: ribosomal RNA, 764 nt
Filed under: uncultured bacterium
Lineage: Bacteria
Description: bacterial SSU rRNA
Rfam family: Bacterial small subunit ribosomal RNA
Source: RNAcentral